RNAcentral lists this ribosomal RNA (470 nucleotides) under uncultured bacterium. RNAcentral's name for it is "SSU rRNA". It matches the Rfam family "Bacterial small subunit ribosomal RNA", at positions 26 to 518 of the family's 1533-position model. The record is from RNAcentral.
AGGACGAACGCUGGCGGCGUGCUUAACACAUGCAAGUCGAGCGGAAAGGCCCUUCGGGGUACUCGAGCGGCGAACGGGUGAGUAACACGUGAGCAACCUGCCCUUAGCUCUGGGAUAGCUCCGGGAAACCGGAAUUAAUACCGGAUACGACCUAGGCCGACAUCGGCCAUGGUGGAAAGUUUUUCGGCUAGGGAUGGACUCGCGGCCUAUCAGCUAGUUGGUGGGGUAAAGGCCUACCAAGGCGACGACGGGUAGCCGGCCUGAGAGGGCGACCGGCCACACUGGGACUGAGACACGGCCCAGACUCCUACGGGAGGCAGCAGUGGGGAAUCUUGCGCAAUGGGCGAAAGCCUGACGCAGCAACGCCGCGUGGAGGACGAAGGCUUUCUGAGUUGUAAACUCCUUUCAGCAGGGACGAUAGUGACGGUACCUGCAGAAGAAGCACCGGCCAACUACGUGCCAGCAGCCGC